RNAcentral lists this ribosomal RNA (24 nucleotides) under Trichoderma asperellum. RNAcentral describes it as "partial 18S ribosomal RNA". The record is from RNAcentral. Lineage: Eukaryota; Fungi; Ascomycota; Sordariomycetes; Hypocreales; Hypocreaceae.
CCUCUGUGAGCGGAGGAUAUUACG